RNAcentral lists this ribosomal RNA (492 nucleotides) under uncultured bacterium. RNAcentral's name for it is "partial 16S ribosomal RNA". It matches the Rfam family "Bacterial small subunit ribosomal RNA", at positions 29 to 507 of the family's 1533-position model. The record is from RNAcentral.
AGUGAACGCUGGCGGUAGGCCUAACACAUGCAAGUCGAACGGCAGCACAGUAAGAGCUUGCUCUUACGGGUGGCGAGUGGCGGACGGGUGAGGAAUACAUCGGAAUCUACUUUUUCGUGGGGGAUAACGUAGGGAAACUUACGCUAAUACCGCAUACGGCCUACGGGUGAAAGCAGGGGAUCUUCGGACCUUGCGCGAUUGAAUGAGCCGAUGUCGGAUUAGCUAGUUGGCGGGGUAAAGGCCCACCAAGGCGACGAUCCGUAGCUGGUCUGAGAGGAUGAUCAGCCACACUGGAACUGAGACACGGUCCAGACUCCUACGGGAGGCAGCAGUGGGGAAUAUUGGACAAAGGGCGCAAGCCUGAUCCAGCCAUACCGCGUGGGUGAAGAAGGCCUUCGGGUUGUAAAGCCCUUUUGUUGGGAAAGAAGAGCAGCAGGUUAAUACCCCGCUGUUCUGACGGUACCCAAAGAAUAAGCACCGGCUAACUUCGUG